Molecule: ribosomal RNA, 981 nt
Filed under: Acinetobacter sp. NF514
Lineage: Bacteria; Pseudomonadati; Pseudomonadota; Gammaproteobacteria; Moraxellales; Moraxellaceae
Description: bacterial SSU rRNA
Rfam family: Bacterial small subunit ribosomal RNA
Source: RNAcentral
UGCAAGUCGAGCGGGCGAGGUUGCUUCGGUAACUGAGCUAGCGGCGGACGGGUGAGUAAAGCUUAGGAAUCUGCCUAUUAGUGGGGGACAACAUUCCGAAAGGGAUGCUAAUACCGCAUACGUCCUACGGGAGAAAGCAGGGGAUCACUUGUGACCUUGCGCUAAUAGAUGAGCCUAAGUCGGAUUAGCUAGUUGGUGGGGUAAAGGCCUACCAAGGCGACGAUCUGUAGCGGGUCUGAGAGGAUGAUCCGCCACACUGGGACUGAGACACGGCCCAGACUCCUACGGGAGGCAGCAGUGGGGAAUAUUGGACAAUGGGGGGAACCCUGAUCCAGCCAUGCCGCGUGUGUGAAGAAGGCCUUUUGGUUGUAAAGCACUUUAAGCGAGGAGGAGGCUUACCUGGUUAAUACCUGGGAUAAGUGGACGUUACUCGCAGAAUAAGCACCGGCUAACUCUGUGCCAGCAGCCGCGGUAAUACAGAGGGUGCGAGCGUUAAUCGGAUUUACUGGGCGUAAAGCGCGCGUAGGUGGUUAAUUAAGUCAAAUGUGAAAUCCCCGAGCUUAACUUGGGAAUUGCAUUCGAUACUGGUUAGCUAGAGUAUGGGAGAGGAUGGUAGAAUUCCAGGUGUAGCGGUGAAAUGCGUAGAGAUCUGGAGGAAUACCGAUGGCGAAGGCAGCCAUCUGGCCUAAUACUGACACUGAGGUGCGAAAGCAUGGGGAGCAAACAGGAUUAGAUACCCUGGUAGUCCAUGCCGUAAACGAUGUCUACUAGCCGUUGGGGGAUUUGAUCCUUUAGUGGCGCAGCUAACGCGAUAAGUAGACCGCCUGGGGAGUACGGUCGCAAGACUAAAACUCAAAUGAAUUGACGGGGGCCCGCACAAGCGGUGGAGCAUGUGGUUUAAUUCGAUGCAACGCGAAGAACCUUACCUGGCCUUGACAUAGUAGAGACUUUCCAGAGAUGGAUUGGUGCCUUCGGGAAUCU